Molecule: long non-coding RNA, 476 nt
Organism: Fundulus heteroclitus (mummichog)
Lineage: Eukaryota; Metazoa; Chordata; Actinopteri; Cyprinodontiformes; Fundulidae
Exons: 2
Source: RefSeq, a predicted model, not a curated record
UAGAUAUCCAUAAUAAAGGCUAGAUGUCUUACGGCGGAGUCUCAAACGUCAUCACCGGCGGCCAUCUUGCCUCAGGCAAGCUUUCUGGCGUGCUCUGUGGUACCUAAUGUAAGGAUUUGUUGAGCGACGGGCUCUGAAGAAGCUGUCCUGUGAUGUCUGCCGUGCCAGCUUGGUAACAGAUGCUGCAUCUGCCAUCAAGGACCAGAGCUACCACCUGCUGAAGUUAAAAAACAAUGGAAAUCUGGUGAUUCCAUCAGAAGGCACAGUGAUGGUAGUCAGGGCAGCAGAGUGGGUCAUUCGUCAGACCUGUCUAUGGCAAAGACAGCCACCACCAUACGCUGUUAACGUUGGUUGUGUCCUUGUUUUUUUUAAGUUAAGGCUGCACCACAUUGCCAAAAUAACUAACCUUAGCUUACAGAGCAACAACAUGCAACAGAAGCUCAAUAAAACCGUCCUUUUCAAAGGGCAUUAGCCAA